Molecule: microRNA precursor, 92 nt
Filed under: Chlorocebus sabaeus (green monkey)
Lineage: Eukaryota; Metazoa; Chordata; Mammalia; Primates; Cercopithecidae
Description: miRNA (ENSCSAG00000027856.1)
Source: RNAcentral
UAUCACAGGGCAUUCACCCACUAUGGUAUUAGGAGUAAUAUCUCCCUAAAAUAUUACAAAUAAUAUCACAGUGGGUGUACACACAUGGUGUA